CUUUAUCAACUACCAACUCACGCUAAAAUCUGACCGUUCAAAUCACCAUCGUUAAUUUCACCACAGCCGUUGGAUCAACCAAAAGGGUCAAUAAAUAUCCCCUAUCAUCUUCUAUUCGUUGCCGUGUACUUCUAUCUCUCCUUUAUCAAGGACGAAGUUUUCACGUUUCUUCUUAGAUCUUGGUUUCUGUUAGCCGUUUCAAACGAUUAUAUCAUUGUAAUCUUGUAGAUCGUUCUUCGAUCUACGUUUUGGUUAUGGAUUUGAUAUGUUACGAUCAGUCGAUCGCCACCGGUUGUUGUGGUUACCGAAGAUUAAGAUUCCGAUCCGCCGUUUCAGAAGGAUGAGGUUUGAUUUGAAGAGAAGACACGUGUUUUACCGAUGAUGAAUUUCAAUCAAGGACGAUCAUCUGUUAUGUUCUUCAGCUUCUUCAAUCUCAUAUAUCAGAUCUCCGAUCUUCGGAAAAUUAGAUAUAUAUUAAAGCUGUAAUCGAUCGGAUUCAAUAGUUGUUGUUCGAGUGCGAUGAUACACAAAUCAUGUAGAUGUAUUCGAGAUUUGGCGAGAUGUGUCUUGUUGAAGAUCUCAGAGGCGAUAGAUUGAUUUGUAAGAUCUACUGGUGGUGUUGCGUGUUGAUUUCGUUAUGUUGUGAGUCCGGCCUUUGCCAUGUCAGGUGCGCUUGCAUGGCAGGUCAAAAGUGUUAAUGAAAUUAUUGUUUUUGUUUUGGUGGAAGGAGAUGGUACGGGGUUGCCCGGUUCUCCUUCCUUCCUUGUGCGCCUGCGUUCUCUUCUCUUCUUCUUUGCUAUCUCUCUCUCUUGCCAAAGAUCUAAAAACGUAAAGCGUGGUUCUAAUUUUGUCCCAAAA
Molecule: long non-coding RNA, 858 nt
Organism: Lactuca sativa (garden lettuce)
Lineage: Eukaryota; Viridiplantae; Streptophyta; Magnoliopsida; Asterales; Asteraceae
Source: RefSeq, a predicted model, not a curated record